AUGGCGGCGCUCUCAGACGAUGGUAACCUUGUCAUAAGAGACGACUCGAACCCAUCCAUCGUGUGGUGGCAGAGCUUUGAUCACCCAACAAAUGUUUUCCUGCCCGGUGCAAGGAUUGGCCGGAACAAGGUUGCUGGCCAAAAAUAUAGUCUUGUUUCGAAGAAGAAUCUGAUAGAUCCAGCUCCAGGCCUAUACUGCAUGGAGCUAGACCCAACUGGUGAUCCGCAAUACUUUGUUAAGCUCUGUAAUUCAUCCAUGGUGUAUUUCUCCACGGGGGAAUGGACCGGGUGCGGGUGGUACUUCAAUUUGGUGCCGGAGAUGUCAGGCAGUCACUUUCUCCACACCAAAUUCAUCGACAAUGAUGAAGAGGAGUACUUCACUUAUGCCCCGAUGGAUCCAACAAUGAUAACAAUCUGCUUCCUUGAUGUCUCCGGUCUUACCAAGCAACUUCUUUGGCUUGAAAUCUUGCAAGAUUGGGAAACCAUACAUGUCCAACCAAGGGCUCCAUGCGAUGUUUUCGCCGUUUGUGGGCCUUCCACGGUCUGCAAUGACAACGCACUUACAUUGUGUAACUGCAUGAAUGGGUUCUCUGUGAAGUCACCAGAGGAUUGGGUGCUAGAUGAUAGAGGAGGUGGAUGCAUGAGAAAUACUCCACUAGAACGUUGCAACAGCAACAAAAGUAACACAACAGGAUUAACUGACCAGUUCUUUCCCAUACAUAGUGUUAGAUUACCAUAUUAUGCACAUAGCAUGGAAACAAUUGAGAGUGGACAAGAGUGCAUGCAGGUUUGUCUAAGAAAUUGCUCAUGCACUGCCUACUCCUAUGGCAAGAGUGGCUGUUCUAUCUGGCAUGGCCAACUUAUUAAUGUAAAGCAGUACAAUAAUGGCACAGUCAAUAGUGACAAAGAGAUUCUUUUCCUUCGUCUUGCUGCUGGAGAUGUGCAAAGUUGGGGAAACAACACGAAAGGAAAUAGAAGAAUGAUCAUAGGUCUCACUGUGUGUGCUUUCGGUUUGUUGGUAAUGCUAUUGAUGAUUUGGAGGGGGGAAAGGAAGUGGUGUUCUCAUCCCUUAAGCAACACUGAAGGUGGAUGUGGAGUUAUAGCAUUUAAGUAUGUUGAUUUGCAGCAGACAACUAAAAAUUUCUCAGAGAAGCUUGGUGUAGGUGGUUUUGGCUCUGUAUUUAAGGGAAUUCUGCGUGACUCGACUACCAUAGCGGUGAAGAUGCUUGAUGGUGCACGCCAAGGAGAAAAACAGUUCAGGGCUGAGGUUAGCACAAUUGGAAUGAUCCAACAUGUCAACUUAGUAAAACUGAUUGGUUUUUGCUGUGAAGGUGAUAGAAGGAUGCUUGUUUAUGAACACAUGGCAAAUCGUUCUCUUGAUGUCCAUAUAUUCCAAGCCAAUGGUUCUAUGCUAGAUUGGAGUACAAGGUUCCGAAUUGCCAUUGGUGUUGCUAAAGGAUUGUCCUACUUGCAUGAGAGUUGUCAUGACUGCAUAAUACAUUGCAAUAUUAAGCCAGAAAACAUACUUCUCGAUGCGGCACUUGUUCCUAGAAUUGCAGAUUUUGGGAUGGCAAAACUUAUGGGAAGGAACUUUAGUCGAGUUCUGACUACAAUGAGAGUUCUGACUACAAUCGAGAUCAUAAGACAGACCAUCAUAGUUCCAUGCUACAUAAUAUGGAAUAUAUUCCGCACCCACCACACCGACGAGUAG
Molecule: ribosomal RNA, 1710 nt
Filed under: Triticum aestivum (bread wheat)
Lineage: Eukaryota; Viridiplantae; Streptophyta; Magnoliopsida; Poales; Poaceae
Description: partial small subunit ribosomal RNA
Source: RNAcentral